CUGGGGGGGGCAACCCAAAUACCUGCAGGCCCACCCACCUAUUUCCGGGGAAUUUGCAAUUGCUCCUGAAAACGCUCUUGCCAAGUUUGAAUGCGACAACAGUUAAAAAGGACAGAACAUGGACACAAUGCAAUUGGGAUCAAGAAGAAGAAAUGAAUCAAGGCCAUGGAAUGGACAUAGACGAAAAGACCAUUCAAGGACUCCGCAAGGCUAGUCGGAGGUAGCAGAGGUAGAGAGGCGAGGCAGGGGUGAGGACAUCAUCCAGCUAUUUCGGCAAUCCCUGAAGGACAAUACAGAAGGGACACACAUGGGACUCAAGACCACAGCAGCGAUCCUGCUCUUGCCCUACCUCUUCAAUGAGGACCCGAGUGGCCUUUAUGCCCAUGACAAGAUUUCAUCGCUCCCCACUCCUUUACUGCACAUCGGCGGAAAUCCAUUUCACCAUGAGAGUGAAAUCACGCUGGCCUUUUAUGGGAAGAACAUCCACACCCUAGAGGACGUCCCCAUGGGACUCUGGGCUCUGCUAGGGCUGUAUUUUUUUAUUUUCAGUUACAUUACCCCCCCAAAAUUAAGAAAAAUACAUAUGUUCUUAAGUUACUUUUACUAGGGCCGGUCAUUGUCACACCCUGACCAUAGAGAGCCCUUGGUUCUCUAUGGUGUUGAGGUCAGAGCGUGACUAGAGGGGUGUUCUAGUUUUCAUAUUUCUAUGUUGGUGUGCUUGGUAUGGUUCCCAAUUAGAGGCAGCUGGUAAUCGUUGCCUCUAAUUGGGGAUCAUAUUUAGGUAGCCUUUUUCCUCAUCUGUGUUUUGUGGGAUAUUGUUUGUGUGUGUGCUAGUUGCACCACCUAUGUAACGUUUCGUUAUGUCUUUAUUUGUUUUGUUCCAAGUUUCACAAAAUUAAAUAUGUGGAACUCA
Molecule: long non-coding RNA, 913 nt
Organism: Oncorhynchus tshawytscha (Chinook salmon)
Lineage: Eukaryota; Metazoa; Chordata; Actinopteri; Salmoniformes; Salmonidae
Exons: 5
Source: RefSeq, a predicted model, not a curated record